CCUUGUACACACCGCCCGUCACACCAUGGGAGUUGGAUUGACCCGAAGGUGGUGGGCUAACCCGCAAGGGAGGCAGCCAACCACGGUCGGUUCAGCGACUGGGGUGAAGUCGUAAACAAGGUACC
RNAcentral lists this ribosomal RNA (125 nucleotides) under uncultured bacterium. Its description in RNAcentral is "partial 16S ribosomal RNA". It matches the Rfam family "Bacterial small subunit ribosomal RNA", at positions 1379 to 1500 of the family's 1533-position model. The record is from RNAcentral.